UCCGUUGUGGUGUAGUGGUUUGAGUGUUAGACUACAACUCUGGAGACCAGGGUUGGAUUCCCUGCUUGGUGA
Molecule: non-coding RNA, 72 nt
Organism: Phrynosoma platyrhinos (Desert horned lizard)
Lineage: Eukaryota; Metazoa; Chordata; Lepidosauria; Squamata; Phrynosomatidae
Source: the annotation of a GenBank genome assembly